GCCGACGUAACUCAGUUGGUAGAGUAACUCCAUGGUAAGGAGUAAGUCGCCGGUUCAAAUCCGGCCGUCGGCU
Molecule: transfer RNA, 73 nt
Filed under: Candidatus Falkowbacteria bacterium RIFCSPLOWO2_02_FULL_45_21
Lineage: Bacteria; Candidatus Falkowiibacteriota
Also listed under: 1 other name
Description: tRNA-Thr
Rfam family: tRNA
About the family: Transfer RNA (tRNA) molecules are approximately 80 nucleotides in length.
Source: RNAcentral